This 254-nucleotide ribosomal RNA is filed under the name uncultured bacterium. RNAcentral describes it as "partial 16S ribosomal RNA". It matches the Rfam family "Bacterial small subunit ribosomal RNA", at positions 524 to 776 of the family's 1533-position model. The record is from RNAcentral.
UACGUAGGGGGGCAAGCGUUGUCCGGAUUUAUUGGGCGUAAAGAGCGUGUAGGCGGUUAGGUAGGUCCGUUGUGAAAACUCGAGGCUCAACCUCGAGACGCCGAUGGAAACCAUCUGACUAGAGUCCGGAAGAGGAGAGUGGAAUUCCUGGUGUAGCGGUGAAAUGCGCAGAUAUCAGGAAGAACACCCGUGGCUAAGGCGGCUCUCUAGUACGGUACUGACGCUGAGACGCGAAAGCGUGGGGAGCGAACAGG